This 872-nucleotide long non-coding RNA is filed under the name Pan troglodytes (chimpanzee). RNAcentral's name for it is "lincRNA". Lineage: Eukaryota; Metazoa; Chordata; Mammalia; Primates; Hominidae. The record is from RNAcentral.
UCUUUCAGGUUGGCUGCAGAAGGUCCGAAGAAAGAGGAGUUACUGGAGGAAAAAGUGGUUCAGAGGUGACUAUUCAACCGCAUAAGAGAUGGUGAAAAUUAACCUAUCACCACUGCUAAUGAACAUCACCCUAUGGAGAACCGAGACACAAAAGGGAAGAUUCAGAAUGUGUGACUUGUAUAAAAUAAAACCAGUUUCCCCCGACCCCAACACCUUCUUUGAACAUCUCUUUCUCCACCUCUCAAAAAAUUUCCUACUGAGUUGAUCCUCUAGUGAAAAGAGCAGUUAAUAAGAUGGAAAGCAACUGGACAUGGUGAAGAAAAAGCCAGCGAACUUAGGGGUGAGACUGAAGCCCCUCAGGGUGGCUGAGCUGUUAUUUUAAAAAUUCCUUCAAGUCACGUGCGGCCUGUCAAGAGAUGAGGUGAAGGAAGAGAAUGAUAAAUAUCUAUCUCCAGUGGAAAGAUCAUUUUGAAAGAAGGGCUGUUAGAUUAAAAACCAAGCUAGCCAGGGAAUGUUAAAGGAAGAGAAGUUCUCACAAGCAUUUUAAUGCCAACCAUGUGUUCCAAUGAGAGGAACACAGGAAAGCUCUUCAGCGGAUGAGAAAAUGAAAUUCGGCAUCACUAAUUCAUAGGAAUGAUAACAAAAACGGCAGUGAAGAAAAUCUGUGCAUUUUAAAAAAUGCAUGUUUUUUGCUUAGUGUUGUCCCUUCCCCUCCUGGCUUUUAGUAUACUGCAUUCAUUAAAGUAGCUGAGAAAAAAAAUAGUAGAUGCUUUUAACGUCAGGCCUGAGAGCUUCCAUAUCCUGUGUUGCAUUGAGUUUUGGGUUUGUUUCCUUAUUCACUGUCUUCUAGAUCUCAGACCCUAGCAGAAGGU